GAUGAACGCUGGCGGCGUGCCUAAUACAUGCAAGUCGAGCGAACAGACGAGGAGCUUGCUCCUCUGACGUUAGCGGCGGACGGGUGAGUAACACGUGGAUAACCUACCUAUAAGACUGGGAUAACUUCGGGAAACCGGAGCUAAUACCGGAUAAUAUAUUGAACCGCAUGGUUCAAUAGUGAAAGACGGUUUUGCUGUCACUUAUAGAUGGAUCCGCGCCGCAUUAGCUAGUUGGUAAGGUAACGGCUUACCAAGGCAACGAUGCGUAGCCGACCUGAGAGGGUGAUCGGCCACACUGGAACUGGGACACGGUCCAGACUCCUACGGGAGGCAGCAGUAGGGAAUCGUCCGCAAAGGGCGAAAGCCUGACGGAGCAACGCCGCGUGAGUGAUGAAGGUCUUCGGAUCGUAAAACUCUGUUAUUAGGGAAGAACAAAUGUGUAAGUAACUAUGCACGUCUUGACGGUACCUAAUCAGAAAGCCACGGCUAACUACGUG
This 497-nucleotide ribosomal RNA is filed under the name uncultured bacterium. RNAcentral describes it as "partial 16S ribosomal RNA". It matches the Rfam family "Bacterial small subunit ribosomal RNA", at positions 28 to 507 of the family's 1533-position model. The record is from RNAcentral.